This 292-nucleotide ribosomal RNA is filed under the name uncultured bacterium. RNAcentral's name for it is "partial 16S ribosomal RNA". It matches the Rfam family "Bacterial small subunit ribosomal RNA", at positions 505 to 796 of the family's 1533-position model. The record is from RNAcentral.
GUGCCAGCAGCCGCGGUAAUACGAAGGGGGCUAGCGUUGUUCGGAAUCACUGGGCGUAAAGCGCACGUAGGCGGAUUGUUAAGUCGGGGGUGAAAUCCUGAGGCUCAACCUCAGAACUGCCUUCGAUACUGGCAAUCUCGAGUCCGGAAGAGGUUGGUGGAACAGCUAGUGUAGAGGUGAAAUUCGUAGAUAUUAGCUAGAACACCAGUGGCGAAGGCGGCCAACUGGUCCGGUACUGACGCUGAGGUGCGAAAGCGUGGGGAGCAAACAGGAUUAGAAACCCCCGUAGUCC